RNAcentral lists this ribosomal RNA (358 nucleotides) under uncultured bacterium. RNAcentral describes it as "bacterial SSU rRNA". It matches the Rfam family "Bacterial small subunit ribosomal RNA", at positions 75 to 453 of the family's 1533-position model. The record is from RNAcentral.
CUAGCUUGCUAAUAAUUCUCUAGUGGCGCACGGGUGAGUAACACGUGAGUACCUGCCCCCAAGAGUGGGAUAGCCCCGGGAAACUGGGAUUAAUACCGCAUAAAGCAAUAAAGCAGCAAUGCGCUUGGGGAUGGGCUCGCGUCCUAUUAGUUAGUUGGUGAGGUAACGGCUCACCAAGGCGAUGACGGGUAGCCGGUCUGAGAGGAUGUCCGGCCACACUGGAACUGAGACACGGUCCAGACACCUACGGGUGGCAGCAGUCGGGAAUCAUUCACAAUGGGGGAAACCCUGAUGGUGCGACGCCGCGUGGGGGAUAAGGUCUUCGGAUUGUAAACCCCUGUCAUGUGGGACAUUAAAA